CAUAGCGACUAUCGUGGCAUAUCAAUAAGCGGAGGAAAAGAAACUAACAAGGAUUCCCUUAGUAACGGCGAGUGAGGCGGGAAGAGCUCAAAUUUGAAAUCUUCAAGGUUCUACCUUGACGAAUUGUAGUUUAAAGAAGUGUUUUCUGUUGAAGUUUUGGUAAAAGUUCUUUGGAAUAGGACAUCAUAGAGGGUGAGAAUCCCGUAUUUGACCAUUAUUUUCAGCUGUGUGAUACACUUUCAAAGAGUCGGAUUGUUUGGGAAUGCAGUCCAAAAUGGGUGGUAAAUUUCAUCUAAAGCUAAAUAUUGGCGAGAGACCGAUAGCGAACAAGUACCGUGAGGGAAAGAUGAAAAGAACUUUGAAAAGAGAGUUAAACAGUACGUGAAAUUGUCAAAAGGGAAGCGUUUGACACCAGUGUUGUUUUUCCGAAAAUCAAUUAAAAAUUGAUUCAUGCUAGGUUGUAUUGACCUUAUCAGCUUGCAAUUUAGUUUUGGGUCUCUUUUUGAUGCACUUUUCGGUUAACAAGUCAACAUCAAUUUCCUUUGCUGUAAAAAGGUAAGAGGAAGGUGGCUUCAAUUUCGGUUGAAGUGUUUAUAGCCUUUUAUCUCUGCAGUCGGGGAGAUUGAGGUCUGCAGCGUAGAUCCUUCGGGGCUAGAUACAUUUAUGCUAAGUUAUAGCUUUUCAUAGACAACUUGUUGACUAUGUUUAGUCAUGUAGCUUACUCGUAAGUGCUAUUUUACCUACGCUUAGGAUGUUGAUAGUCACAGCGUGUAC
This 774-nucleotide ribosomal RNA is filed under the name uncultured Neocallimastigales. RNAcentral describes it as "partial large subunit ribosomal RNA". It matches the Rfam family "Eukaryotic large subunit ribosomal RNA", at positions 22 to 644 of the family's 3401-position model. The record is from RNAcentral. Lineage: Eukaryota; Fungi; Neocallimastigomycota; Neocallimastigomycetes; Neocallimastigales.